GAAAUGCGAUAAGUAAUGUGAAUUGCAGAAUUCAGUGAAUCAUCGAAUCUUUGAACGCAACUUGCGCUCCUUGGUAUUUCUUGGAGCAUGCCUGUUUGAGUAUCAUGAAAUCUUCAAAGUAAAUCUUUUGUUAACUCAAUUGGUUUCUACUUUGGUAUUGGAGGUCUUUGCAGCUUCACACCUGCUCCUCUUUGUUCAUUAGCUGGAUCUCAGUGUUAUGCUUGGUUCCACUCGGCGUGAUAAGUUAUCUAUCGCUGAGGACACUGUAAAAGGUGGCCAAGGUAAAUGCAGAUGAACCGCUUCUAAUAGUCCAUUGACUUGGACAAUACUUUUAUGAUCUGAUCUCAAAUCAGGUAGGACUACCCGCUGAACUUAAGC
Molecule: unclassified non-coding RNA, 378 nt
Filed under: plant metagenome
Description: partial contains 5.8S ribosomal RNA, internal transcribed spacer 2, and large subunit ribosomal RNA
Rfam family: 5.8S ribosomal RNA (bases 1-105)
Source: RNAcentral